CUAGGCUCUUCAAGUCUCGAUGAUCCUCCUCAAUUUAUUACGAAAUUAAAACUAUUAACAGCGCACGAGCUCUCGUUGGAUGAUCUACAAAUAUAAAUGUGGUGGGAUAAGGAGCUGAGUAUAGGCUUUCAAAGAGGUUUCUCAUCCCCUUUGUAUUCAUAGAUUAGAUACUUGAAUUCAUUGUAUCCAAUUUUUUCAGCCUUGGAAGUAAAAUGUCUGCUGCCUGAUAUUGGUAGUGGAUUGGUCUGCCUGGAUCUGGAUUGUGGGAAAGCAUCCUGCAUAACCAGGUUCUGCAUUUCAUUUGUGGUUUGUGAUUGAUCUGCUGAGCAGUUUACAAUUUGUAUAAAAUCUUAUUUUACUAACCAAUAGGAAAACAUCAAUUAAACUGCUACAUAUUUGAUACAAUCAAAU
RNAcentral lists this unclassified non-coding RNA (411 nucleotides) under Hevea brasiliensis (rubber tree). Lineage: Eukaryota; Viridiplantae; Streptophyta; Magnoliopsida; Malpighiales; Euphorbiaceae. The record is from RNAcentral.